UUACAGCCACAUCAGCUUGAAAUACCAGUUCCCGCACGUUCACUGAAGUUGAGCAACGUCGAGUCUGGUCAGUACCGAGAUGGGUGACCGCUUGGGAAUACCAGGUGAUUGUAAG
Non-coding RNA from Acanthosepion pharaonis, 115 nucleotides. The record is from the annotation of a GenBank genome assembly. Lineage: Eukaryota; Metazoa; Mollusca; Cephalopoda; Sepiida; Sepiidae.